GAAGCACGCCAGGCCGUCGCUGGUGCAAGCGCCGAAAGGCCGCACUGGAGGAACGUCCGGACUGCAGAGGGCAGCGUAGCAGGUAACACCUGUCCGCCGUGAGGCGAGGAUCAGAGCAACAGAGACGAGUCCGGAUUCGAGCGCAAGCGAGAUGAAGGGGUGAAACGGGCAAUCUCUACGCGCAGCAAUACCAAAUAGGCCAGCACGGGGGCAGGGCAACCUGCCCCCUUCACCGUGGUCCCGCGAGACGCUGGCGGGUAGGUAGCACCGAGCCGGUGGGGCGACCCCCGGCCCAGAGGAAUGACGGUCACGCGGGGGCGACCCCGCGCACAAAAUCCGGCGUAUCGGCGCGCUUCACAC
RNAcentral lists this RNase P RNA (360 nucleotides) under Ramlibacter pallidus. Its description in RNAcentral is "RNase P RNA component class A". It matches the Rfam family "Bacterial RNase P class A". From Rfam's summary of the family: Ribonuclease P (RNase P) is a ubiquitous endoribonuclease, found in archaea, bacteria and eukarya as well as chloroplasts and mitochondria. Its best characterised activity is the generation of mature 5'-ends of tRNAs by cleaving the 5'-leader elements of precursor-tRNAs. Cellular RNase Ps are ribonucleoproteins. Lineage: Bacteria; Pseudomonadati; Pseudomonadota; Betaproteobacteria; Burkholderiales; Comamonadaceae. The record is from RNAcentral.